AACGCACCUUGCGCUCCCGGCAGAUCUAAUCUGGGGAGCAUGCCUGUUUGAGGGCCGCGAAUUGUUUCGAACGACAGCUUUUUUUCUCGGAGAAAGGUUGGCGGAUCGGUAUUGAGGGUCUUUGCCAUUCACCGUGGCUCCCUCGAAAUGCAUUAGCGCAUCCAUUUGAUAGGCAAGACGGACGAAAGCUCGAUUUCGCCCUCUCUUCCCUGCCGGGUUUUGAUAAUAUCAGGACUUCGGAGGCGGAGAGUUGGUUAGAGCUGGACGCAACGGCUUGCUGUUUGGCGUGCUUCUGAACCCCGCCCAUGCCUCGCAAGAGGAAGGGAUUUUUUUCAAUUCAUCGGCCUCAGAUUGGUAGGACUACCCGCUGAACUUAA
This 377-nucleotide unclassified non-coding RNA is filed under the name uncultured Ustilaginales. RNAcentral's name for it is "sequence contains 5.8S rRNA gene, ITS2, 28S rRNA gene". The record is from RNAcentral. Lineage: Eukaryota; Fungi; Basidiomycota; Ustilaginomycetes; Ustilaginales.